Nycticebus coucang (slow loris) is the source of this 105-nucleotide small nuclear RNA. The record is from RefSeq and is a predicted model, not a curated record. Lineage: Eukaryota; Metazoa; Chordata; Mammalia; Primates; Lorisidae.
GUGCUUGCCUCAGCAGCACAUACACUAAUAUUGAACCAUGCAGAGAAGAUUAGCUUGUUCCUGCACAAGGAUGACAUGCAAAUUCGUGAAGUGUUCCAUGUUUCU